AACCCAUGAUUUGGGCAUUUUCUCAACAUCCUUUUAAAUAUCUCUCAUGAAUCAUAGAAGACUUCAUCUGCUCCUUGUCUAAACAUAGAAAUCUGAGGCU
Molecule: small nucleolar RNA, 100 nt
Filed under: Phaseolus vulgaris (common bean)
Lineage: Eukaryota; Viridiplantae; Streptophyta; Magnoliopsida; Fabales; Fabaceae
Description: Plant small nucleolar RNA R71
Rfam family: Plant small nucleolar RNA R71
About the family: R71 is a member of the C/D box family of snoRNAs containing the C (UGAUGA) and D (CUGA) box motifs. Multiple nearly identical copies of this snoRNA have been identified in Arabidopsis, and it is thought to function as a 2'-O-ribose methylation guide for 18S ribosomal RNA.
Source: Rfam by way of RNAcentral